Homo sapiens (human) is the source of this 583-nucleotide long non-coding RNA. Ensembl annotates it as OSMR divergent transcript. Its record names the gene OSMR-DT. NCBI's taxonomy places the organism in Eukaryota, Metazoa, Chordata, Mammalia, Primates, Hominidae. The record is from Ensembl.
AACUUGGAAACCGAAAACUCGGCGGCCGAGGCUCCGUGCCCCGCGCGCAGCGCUGCUCCUGCCCCGGCCAAGGACGCACGGGCCAGCCGGCGGAACCAGAGGUUUUCAGUGAUGUUGAGAGUCAACAGGAAAUUAAUCAGCAAGUAGAAAAUUGAAAGAAGAUCUGCAUCUUACUGCAGGAGUCAUUAAAAUAAAAGCAGAUUUGGCAAAAUGGCAAGAACCAGAGGAUGAGGAUGUAAAACAAAAACUUUUGGAGUCAUUUUGCCACCAGGAUGAAAAUAGGAUGAAGCUGACAUGACAAAGGUGCAGGUGACAGCUUCUACCUUAUGAUCUGCGUUCCAGUCAGCGGGAAGGAGAUGGGGUGGGAAUGUGAUAAACCACUUCCCUUGAAGGACAUUUUCCAGAAGGUGAAUGCCACUUCUGUUUAUAUCCCAUUGGCCAGCACUUAGAUUUAUUUCCAAGAAGAAAAAAGGAGAACAGAUAUCAUGUUGACCAGCAGUCUCUGCCACAGACAGCUAAUCUCCACCUUCCACUAAGGCUGAGAAAUUACCAGCAUGGGAGGAAAAGGUGGUGCAGUUCAGCA